Long non-coding RNA from Myiozetetes cayanensis, 1144 nucleotides. RefSeq lists it as uncharacterized. NCBI's taxonomy places the organism in Eukaryota, Metazoa, Chordata, Aves, Passeriformes, Tyrannidae. The record is from RefSeq and is a predicted model, not a curated record. The transcript is spliced from 3 exons.
CAUGGAUUUCUAAGCAGGAAAACUGGAAGUAUCCUACUAGAUCAGUCAACAGAACUAGUAGAACUCCAGUGCAAAAAUCCACAAGCUGCGCAAAUCUAUACCAGAUGGAAGACUGUGUACAGAAUCAUUUCAGCAAAUACCUGGAGGAGGAAGGGUGAAGACUGGUAGUAACAGAACCUAUCCGACAUGUCUACGUGUAGAUGCAAACAAGCCUUCAAGGAGUAUCAGCCAUUUUUUUCUUCCUAUUUGAUUUCACUGGCUUUGUGAGAGGAGAGGAGACUCGGCUGGAGGCGAACAGAUAUUUAAACGCACAUUCCUUGAUGGGAAGAGCUGUACUUGAGAAACCAUUUGCAAUCAUAACAAGGACUCGGGUUGACCUGAGGUAAUGUUAACUGUGGCGGAGUUCCUUACUCAAUAUCCGUUUAUAUAAAACAUGUACUUGCUCUCCUUCUGUUUUAUAUACAAAUUCACGUGGAGUCCAUCCCAGGAAGCUUAUGAUCUAGGCUUAGCACUAAAGGAUGCUGACUGUGACAUGAGUGGGAAUGGCUGGAAAACACACAGGAGCCUGCCCUCGUAAGAGACAGUGAUUGCCACAAACCCAUUGUGCUAAGUCCCUGCUUGUAUUUUCUCUCCUUGUUUGACCUCAGCUCCAGUAGGUAUCAAAAAACCUUGCGGCACCCCUAGAUCCAAUUGUCCCAGGAAGAGCCCUGUGAAGCAGGAAUGGUGGACUAAACUUCAGAAAGGACAAGGUUGCCUCUGCAGCAUGCACAUAUGUGUUCUGUCCCAACCUCAAUACACCUAUUGCCUCCUCCUCAAGGCUCUGUUGCAACUAAUCAGCCAGCACAGCUUCCUUAUAUACACCAUCUUGGAGAGAGGAUUUUGAAGACUCUCCAAAAGCCAUGAAAGCAACUCCAGCCUCCUCGUCCCCUUCUUGGCACAGGAUCAUCCUUGAAUGUGCAGGAAAUGUGCAGCCAUCUUGCAAAGCCAAUUCCCUACCUGCUCGGCUUCCCCCUGCUGGCUUCUCAGCUGAAGUUGCCCAGACUGCUGCUGCUCUAUCAGGCAGACCUCCAUGGCUGAGGAUGGUGGCACAAGAAGUGGUAAGUCCCAGGCAGGGAGAUGCUUGGCUUUGGAUGGCUGGACUGUG